Molecule: unclassified non-coding RNA, 318 nt
Filed under: uncultured fungus
Lineage: Eukaryota; Fungi
Description: partial contains small subunit ribosomal RNA, internal transcribed spacer 1, and 5.8S ribosomal RNA
Rfam family: Eukaryotic small subunit ribosomal RNA (bases 1-73)
Source: RNAcentral
UCAAACUUGGUCAUUUAGAGGAAGUAAAAGUCGUAACAAGGUUUCCGUAGGUGAACCUGCGGAAGGAUCAUUAUCCAUCUUACCAGCUGCGGUUGCGGCCUCCAGGGUCUACCCCCGGGUGGUAGAGGUAAAACUCUCACGCACCGUACGUCUGCAUCCUUUCUUUACGAGCACCUUUCGUUCUCCCUCGGCGGGGUUAACCUGCCGCUGGGAUCUAUCAAAACUCUUUUGCAUUUAGCAUUACCUGUUCUGAUACAAACAAUAAUUACAACUUUCAACAAUGGAUCUCUUGGCUCUGGCAUCGAUGAAGAACGCAGC